RNAcentral lists this transfer RNA (82 nucleotides) under Roseobacter phage DSS3P8. It matches the Rfam family "tRNA". Rfam says of the family: Transfer RNA (tRNA) molecules are approximately 80 nucleotides in length. Their secondary structure includes four short double-helical elements and three loops (D, anti-codon, and T loops). The record is from Rfam by way of RNAcentral. Lineage: Duplodnaviria; Heunggongvirae; Uroviricota; Caudoviricetes.
GCGGAUGUGGCGAAAUGGUAGACGCGCUGUCUUCAGAAGGCAGUGUCCUAGUGGCGUGAGGGUUCAAAUCCCUCCAUCCGCA